GCCUAUUUCCACUGAUUUCCAGAAACCGUAUAAGAUAUAGACAAAUUAUUUUUUCUAAAUUGUUAGUUGCGACAUGUCGUAACACGUAAAUUUUAAUUGCAAGGGUACGUUGAACGUAAAUAUGAGUUUUCUCCCCUCUUGUAUUUAAAAAUACGCGUAUGGUGAUAUAACUGAUUAACCAAAUAUAAUUAAGACCUAUGGUCUUUUGAUU
This 211-nucleotide long non-coding RNA is filed under the name Mytilus galloprovincialis (Mediterranean mussel). Lineage: Eukaryota; Metazoa; Mollusca; Bivalvia; Mytilida; Mytilidae. The record is from RNAcentral.